RNAcentral lists this ribosomal RNA (468 nucleotides) under uncultured bacterium. RNAcentral describes it as "partial 16S ribosomal RNA". It matches the Rfam family "Bacterial small subunit ribosomal RNA", at positions 28 to 507 of the family's 1533-position model. The record is from RNAcentral.
GACGAACGCUGGCGGCGUGCUUAACACAUGCAAGUCGAACGGAAAGGCCCUGCUUUUGUGGGGUGCUCGAGUGGCGAACGGGUGAGUAACACGUGAGUAACAUGCACUUGACUUUGGGAUAACUUCUGGAAACUGGGGCUAAUACCGGAUAGGAGCUCCUGCUGCAUGGGGGGGGUUGGAAAGUUUCGGCGGUGGGGGAUGGACUCGCGGCAUAUCAGCUUGUUGGUGGGGUAGUGGCUUACCAAGGCUUUGACGGGUAGCCGGCCUGAGAGGGUGACCGGCCACAUUGGGACUGAGAUACGGCCCAGACUCCUACGGGAGGCAGCAGUGGAGAAUAUUGCACAAUGGGCGGAAGCCUGAUGCAACAACGCCGCGUGCGGGAUGACGGCCUUCGGGUUGUAAACCGCUUUCGCCUGUGACGAAGCGUGAGUGACGGUAAUGGGUAAAGAAGCACCGGCUAACUACGUG